Molecule: small RNA, 2374 nt
Filed under: Pan troglodytes (chimpanzee)
Lineage: Eukaryota; Metazoa; Chordata; Mammalia; Primates; Hominidae
Description: retained intron
Source: RNAcentral
UUCCCGGCUCCGGGAGCGCCCCUAGGGAGUCGGAGCCCGGAAGCUGGAGCCACCUGCGGGUUGCACUUCCCCCAGCUGGCCCUGAGGCGGAGGCUGGGGCAGCUGAGCUGCAUGUCCAGACCCGCUCUGAAACUGCGCUCCUGGCCCUUGACUGUCCUCUACUACCUCCUGCCCUUCGGCGCCCUCAGACCGCUCAGCCGGGUGGGAUGGAGGCCCGUAAGCAGGGUGGCUUUGUACAAGUCAGUGCCAACGCGCUUGCUGUCACGGGCCUGGGGUCGCCUCAAUCAGGUGGAGCUGCCACACUGGCUGCGCAGGCCCGUCUACAGCCUGUACAUCUGGACGUUUGGGGUGAACAUGAAAGAGGCCGCUGUGGAGGACCUGCAUCACUACCGCAACCUCAGCGAGUUCUUCCGGCGCAAGCUGAAGCCGCAGGCCCGGCCUGUCUGUGGCCUGCACAGCGUGAUUAGCCCAUCGGAUGGAAGGAUCCUCAACUUUGGGCAGGUGAAGAACUGCGAGGUGGAGCAGGUAAAGGGGGUCACCUACUCCCUGGAGUCGUUCCUGGGCCCGCGUACCUGCACAGAGGACCUGCCCUUCCCACCAGGUGGGUCACUGCACAGGCGGGGCCAGGCAGCCCUGCUGCUGUGUGGCUGGACCGGGAGGGAGGGGAAUGCUGGGGAAGGAACUGAGGCUGGCAUGUGGGGCCUCCCUGAGAAUCCAUGUGCAGACCACACUCGGGCUCCGUGCUGGGUGCUCACUGUGUUGGUGGCCCCCACGUCUGCUCCUACUCCACAGCUGCGUCGUGUGACUCCUUCAAGAACCAGCUGGUCACCCGGGAAGGGAAUGAGCUCUAUCACUGUGUCAUCUACCUGGCCCCUGGGGACUACCACUGCUUCCACUCCCCCACCGACUGGACUGUGUCCCACCGGCGCCACUUCCCAGGCUCCCUGAUGUCAGUGAACCCUGGCAUGGCUCGCUGGAUCAAAGAGCUCUUCUGCCAUAACGAGCGGGUAGUCCUGACGGGGGACUGGAAACAUGGCUUCUUCUCACUGACAGCUGUGGGGGCCACCAACGUGGGCUCCAUUCGCAUCUACUUUGACCGGGACCUGCACACAAACAGCCCAAGGCACAGCAAGGGCUCCUACAAUGACUUCAGCUUCGUGACGCACACCAAUAGAGAGGGCGUCCCCAUGCGUAAGGGCGAGCACCUGGGCGAGUUCAACCUGGGCUCCACCAUCGUGCUCAUCUUUGAGGCCCCCAAGGACUUCAAUUUCCAGCUGAAAACAGGACAGAAAAUCCGCUUUGGGGAAGCCCUGGGCUCGCUCUAGAGUCUCUUUCCUGAUUAUGGCUGCUAAGGGAUCUUUUCCAAACAGAGUGAGGGUCUUUUCAAGAGGGAGGCCCAUGGGGCCAUCCAGGUGAGGGCCUGCCUCAGCGUGGGUGGGAGUCUGACCAGGUAGGACUUGAAUGAUUCGGCUCCACCUGUUCCAGAGGUGCAGACAAGAGGUGGUGAGAGCCCCCGUCAUGCCCUCAACCUAUCCCGUUCCUUCUCCCUACAAAUAAAAAGUGCAGGCUGGAAUGAUCUCAGUCACAUUUGGAUCUUUUUAAACACUGUAUAGACGGAAGAUCCUGCAUUCCUGACUGAACCUUCAGUUGGUCUUGGUUGUCGUUUUUUCUUGCUGCUCCUCCCCCCAUCACCUGAGCUGUUUUCUGUUGGCCCCUUUUGUUUUUUGGCCUUAACGCUCCUGCUGCACAGGGUGAGGUGCCUCCUUGGCACAGACUGUGGAUGCCUCUCCCCCAGCAGAGCCACACAGCCUUCGUGACAACUGCUUUCCGUUCCCACAUUCACCUCAUCCUGCUCUUUAAAAAAGCAGUCUUUGUGCUUGUGGCUGAACGCAUCACCCUGGACUCUGCUAGUGUCUUCUGAGGACACUGAUGACACUGAUUAAUGAUACAGACCUUUGCAGGACCUGAUGAGUGACCCUUCUGGAGCUGGCCAGGUCCUCUGCAGCAGGCAAGACCAAUCAAUCACUGAACCUGCCUCAUGGCACCAGAGUGAACAGGGCAGGCAGGUAGUAGGCCCAGCUGGGGAAACGGGAGAGUUCCUGUCCCCCUCCACAUAUCCCUACAUGAAAUAUGGGAAAGUUGCUGCUAUUGAUUCAGGGUCUGUCUUGGAGGCAGAGGACCCUUGGUGGAUAGUUGGUCAGUGCCUGGAAAACCUGUCCCAGUUAUCAGGAACGCAGGCCUGGGGAGCCCCCAGUGGCAGGGACAGGGCCAGAUUUCAUGUUGACCCUGGGGAUGCUGUGAAUUUCUCCUGCAGGAGAGACAUCAUUGAAUUUUUUCAACUGUAUCAGUAGCACAGUAUUUUUGUAUGAAAAGU